RNAcentral lists this ribosomal RNA (806 nucleotides) under human gut metagenome. Its description in RNAcentral is "bacterial SSU rRNA". It matches the Rfam family "Bacterial small subunit ribosomal RNA", at positions 337 to 1145 of the family's 1533-position model. The record is from RNAcentral.
UCCUACGGGAGGCAGCAGUAGGGAAUUUUCGUCAAUGGGGGGAACCCUGAACGAGCAAUGCCGCGUGAGUGAGGAAGGUCUUCGGAUCGUAAAGCUCUGUUGUAAGAGAAAAACGGCACUCAUAGGGAAUGAUGAGUGAGUGAUGGUAUCUUACCAGAAAGUCACGGCUAACUACGUGCCAGCAGCCGCGGUAAUACGUAGGUGGCGAGCGUUAUCCGGAAUGAUUGGGCGUAAAGGGUGCGUAGGUGGCAGAUCAAGUCUGGAGUAAAAGGUAUGGGCUCAACCCGUACUGGCUCUGGAAACUGAUCAGCUAGAGAACAGAAGAGGACGGCGGAACUCCAUGUGUAGCGGUAAAAUGCGUAGAUAUAUGGAAGAACACCGGUGGCGAAGGCGGCCGUCUGGUCUGGAUUCUGACACUGAAGCACGAAAGCGUGGGGAGCAAAUAGGAUUAGAUACCCUAGUAGUCCACGCCGUAAACGAUGAGAACUAGGUGUUGGGGGAAUAACUCAGUGCCGCAGUUAACGCAGUAAGUUCUCCGCCUGGGGAGUAUGCACGCAAGUGUGAAACUCAAAGGAAUUGACGGGGGCCCGCACAAGCGGUGGAGUAUGUGGUUUAAUUCGAAGCAACGCGAAGAACCUUACCAGGCCUUGACAUCCCUUGCAGAGGUAUAGAGAUAUAUCCGAGGUUAUCAAGGAGACAGGUGGUGCAUGGUUGUCGUCAGCUCGUGUCGUGAGAUGUUGGGUUAAGUCCCGCAACGAGCGCAACCCUUGUGAUAUGUUACUAACAUUGAGUUGAGGACUCAUAUC